RNAcentral lists this ribosomal RNA (436 nucleotides) under Appasus japonicus. RNAcentral's name for it is "partial 16S rRNA". It matches the Rfam family "Bacterial large subunit ribosomal RNA", at positions 1819 to 2523 of the family's 2925-position model. Lineage: Eukaryota; Metazoa; Arthropoda; Insecta; Hemiptera; Belostomatidae. The record is from RNAcentral.
GUCCUUUUGAUUUUUAUAUAAGGUCUGACCUGCCCUAUGAAUAUUUAAAUGGCCGCGGUAUACUAACCGUGCAAAGGUAGCAUAGUCAUUUGUCUCUUAAUUGGAGGCUUGAAUGAAGGGUUGGACGAGAUAUAAGCUUUCUUUGUUAUAUUUUAUUGAAUUUGACUUUUGAGUUAAAAGGCUUAAAUUUUUUUAUAGGACGAGAAGACCCUAUAGAAUUUUAUAUAUUUGUAUAAUCGAUUUAUUUAUUUAUUAUUUAAUUUCUUGUUUAAAUAUAUUUUGUUGGGGCGAUGGGAAGAUUUUAAUAACUCUUUUUUGUUUUGAUCAUUGAUUUAUGUUUUAUUCUGAUCCUUUUUUAGAGAUUAUAAGAUUAAAUUACCUUAGGGAUAACAGCGUAAUUCUUUUGGAGAGUUCUUAUCGAUAAAAGAGUUUGCGA